Long non-coding RNA from Homo sapiens (human), 108 nucleotides. The record is from Ensembl. NCBI's taxonomy places the organism in Eukaryota, Metazoa, Chordata, Mammalia, Primates, Hominidae.
AAAAGCCGAGCUUCCUCGUGCUCAUCUGCUGAAGAGUGUCUUUAUGAGUUGAGGCUUCAAUGCUUUCAUGGAGAAAUUGCCUGAUUUAAGUAAAUCAUGUCACUUUCA